This 277-nucleotide signal recognition particle RNA is filed under the name Ovis aries (sheep). Its description in RNAcentral is "Metazoan signal recognition particle RNA (ENSOARG00000022869.1)". It matches the Rfam family "Metazoan signal recognition particle RNA". From Rfam's summary of the family: The signal recognition particle (SRP) is a universally conserved ribonucleoprotein. It is involved in the co-translational targeting of proteins to membranes. Lineage: Eukaryota; Metazoa; Chordata; Mammalia; Artiodactyla; Bovidae. The record is from RNAcentral.
GCUGGGUGUGGUGGCGCGCGCCUGUAAUCCCAGCUGCUCGGGAGGCUGAGGCUGGAGGAUCGCUUGAGCUCAGCAGUUCUGGGCUGCAGUGUGCUAUGCCAGUCGGUUGUCCGCACUAAGUUCGGCAUCAAUAUGGUGACCUCCUGGGAGCAGGGGACCACCAGGUUGCCUAAGGAGGGGUGAAUUGGCCCAGGUCGGAAACGGAGCGGGUCAGAACUCCAAAAAAAAAAAAAAAAAAAAAAGAGUCAUGAUUCUCAAUCUGUUGGAUCCUGACUCU